This 516-nucleotide long non-coding RNA is filed under the name Rattus norvegicus (Norway rat). RNAcentral describes it as "long non-coding RNA NONRATT003452". The record is from RNAcentral. Lineage: Eukaryota; Metazoa; Chordata; Mammalia; Rodentia; Muridae.
GCAAAGCCUUCCACAAACCCUCUCUGCUCACUCCUCACCUUCAGUGACUUCAAUGCAGAAGCUGUCAAGAACAAGGUACCACCCCUGCCUCGCCUCUGCUCAGGUGACCUAGGCCGAGGUCACCCCUAACACAGUCCUACCCCAACCCCAGGCCCAGUCUGUGCGAGAGGUAUUUGCCCGGCAGCUGAUGCAGGUGCGUGGACUGAGUGGGGAGAAGGCAGCAGCCCUGGUGGAUCGAUACAGCACCCCUGCCAGUCUCCUGGCUGCCUAUGAUGCCUGUGCCACCACCAAGGAGCAGGAGAUGCUGCUGAGCACCGUCAAGUGUGGGCGUCUGCAGAGAAAUCUGGGACCUGCUCUGAGCAGGACCCUGUACCAGCUGUAUUGCAGCCACAGCCCUUUGACCUGAGCUAUACCUGGAAAUGCUCCCCAGCACCCAUCUUCAUCUCUACCAAGGCUAGCCUUUUAACAGGUCCUCUGGGCUUUAAUAAAAAUCCAAAUGUGUGUGGUGUUAAGGAA